This 492-nucleotide ribosomal RNA is filed under the name uncultured bacterium. Its description in RNAcentral is "partial 16S ribosomal RNA". It matches the Rfam family "Bacterial small subunit ribosomal RNA", at positions 29 to 507 of the family's 1533-position model. The record is from RNAcentral.
AGUGAACGCUGGCGGUAGGCCUAACACAUGCAAGUCGAACGGCAGCACAGUAAGAGCUUGCUCUUACGGGUGGCGGGUGGCGGACGGGUGAGGAAUACAUCGGAAUCUACUUUUUCGUGGGGGAUAACGUAGGGAAACUUACGCUAAUACCGCAUACGACCUACGGGUGAAAGCAGGGGAUCUUCGGACCUUGCGCGAUUGAAUGAGCCGAUGUCGGAUUAGCUAGUUGGCGGGGUAAAGGCCCACCAAGGCGACGAUCCGUAGCUGGUCUGAGAGGAUGAUCAGCCACACUGGAACUGAGAAACGGUCCAGACUCCUAAGGGAGGCAGCAGUGGGGAAUAUUGGACAAUGGGCGCAAGCCUGAUCCAGCCAUACCGCGUGGGUGAAGAAGGCCUUCGGGUUGUAAAGCCCUUUUGUUGGGAAAGAAAAGCAGCAGGUUAAUACCCCGCUGUUCUGACGGUACCCAAAGAAUAAGCACCGGCUAACUUCGUG